GCCGCAGUCCCUCAACUGGUGGAGGAGCUGUGUGGAAGACAGCCGGCCGGCAAUACCGGCUUGCAGGUUCGAGUCCUGUCUGCGGCG
This 87-nucleotide transfer RNA is filed under the name Eubacteriales bacterium. Its description in RNAcentral is "tRNA-Ser". It matches the Rfam family "tRNA". Rfam says of the family: Transfer RNA (tRNA) molecules are approximately 80 nucleotides in length. The record is from RNAcentral. Lineage: Bacteria; Bacillati; Bacillota; Clostridia; Eubacteriales.